Molecule: ribosomal RNA, 379 nt
Filed under: uncultured bacterium
Lineage: Bacteria
Description: bacterial SSU rRNA
Rfam family: Bacterial small subunit ribosomal RNA
Source: RNAcentral
AUUGAACGCUGGCGGCAUGCCUUACACAUGCAAGUCGAACGGUAACGGGCCUUCGGGUGCCGACGAGUGGCGAACGGGUGAGUAAUGUAUCGGAACGUACCUUUCAGUGGGGGAUAACGUAGCGAAAGUUACGCUAAUACCGCAUAUUCUGUGAGCAGGAAAGCAGGGGAUCGCAAGACCUUGCGCUGAUUGAGCGGCCGAUAUCAGAUUAGCUAGUUGGUGAGGUAAAGGCUCACCAAGGCGACGAUCUGUAGCGGGUCUGAGAGGAUGAUCCGCACACUGGAACUGAGACACGGUCCAGACUCCUACGGAGGCAGCAGUGGGAAUUUUGGACAAUGGGGGCAACCUGAUCAGCCAUGCCGCGUGAGUGAAGAAGGCC